UCAAACCUAAAAACAAGCAGCACUCGACACAUCUACUGAAGCUCAAACCAUUAGCAAAAAUGAAGAAACAACAUACAAGCAAGAUAAAGUGGGAGCAGAUGGAGCUAAAGGAGGAAACAAACAUGAGAAAUAUCUGAUUGUCAACAUGUCCUGUUAUUGCUAUUUACCAGCGAUGAACCUUCAGUCGCUUCAGGAAGUAUUCAGACUCCAGAACACCUUAUAGUGUUGGAAAAAUAACUUUAAAUCAAUUAAAUUAAAACUGCUUGACAUUUUUGUGUCUUUGCUUUGUCAUUCUGGGUUACUGAGUGUAGAUUAAUGUGAAAAUAUAUCUAUAUUUUCCAUUUAAAAUUAAAUCUACAACACUAAAGUGUACAAAAUAAGUCUCAAUACUUUCUGUCUGUUACUAUUUUGAAAAGAACUGACUGGUAUGUGAUUGUAAAAUACAGCAGGAUCUCACACGUUUUUAUCUCUAUUCUACAUAUAAUUACAGUAUACAACAUCAGUGAGGACACCCCGGGGCAAAAUCACUUAAAUGUCAAAUGAUUCCAACUUAAGUCCUCUCUCACUGAUUGCAUCAUUUCUAAGUGGAACAGUAGAACUUUUUAUAAAGACGAGUCCAGCUGUGAUUCAGUCGAACUGAUGAACAUGGUUCUAAAAUGAACGUUCUCCGUUCUGGACCUGGGUCUAUCUAUGUCUGCAUCACGGCACCACAUGGAAACGAACUGAACAGAGGAAGAGAAAAAUCUGACUGAGAGACUCGACAAAGAUGGAAAAGAUCCAGGAAGAUCAGUGAGCAACUAGAAGGAGUCAUAGAAGCACGGAUCAGGAGGUCUAGAAGGAGUCAUAGUACCAUUAACCAGGAGGUCUAGAAGGAGUCAUAGUACCACUAAUCAGGAGGUCUAGAAGGAGUCAUAGUACCACUAAUCAGGAGGUCUAGAAGGAGUCAUAGUACCACUAAUCAGGAGGUCUAGAAGGAGUCAUAGUACCACUAAUCAGGAGGUCUAGAAGGAGUCAUAGUUCCACUAAUCAGGAGGUCUAGAAGGAGGCAUAGUACCACUAAUCAGAGCUCCUAAAAUGACUCCAUGGACAGUGAACUACUUUCACAAAGAACAUUUAAAGAAGCCUGAUGGAUGUUGGAGAACAUUCAGAUGAAGAUCAAUGAGUUGGGUUCAGAUGGAGUCCAGAUGUUAAUUGAGAACCUGACCAGGACUACCACAGUGGAUGCAUCGUCCUGACAGUGAAGAACUUUGAAGUCAUUUUGUGAGUCUUUCUGGCGAUUUUGUGUGUCUUUGUGGUUAUUUUGUGUCUUUUCGUGGUCAUGUUGUGUGUUUUUGUCGUCAUUAUGCAUCUCUUUGUGGUUGUUUUGUAUCUCUUUGUGGUCUCUCCUGACCAGGACUACCACAGUGAAUGCAUAGCCUUGACAGUGAAGCACUCCGAGGUCAUUUUGUGAGUCUCUCUGGUGAUUUUGUGUGUCUUUGUGGUGAUUUUGUGUGUCUUUGUGGUCGUUGUGCAUCUGUUUACUGUUGACUAGACUACCACACACCAUCCUGACAGUGAAGCACGGCGAUGGCUACUGUUGAAUUUAUUAAUAUAUUAAAUCUAAACUAAUAGUUUGUAAUCUGACAUUAGGGGAAAUACUCUACUGUUCAACUUAGAAGUAAUCUGAUUACUGUAAGGAGCUACAGUGUAGAAUCAUUGGGUGACGUUUGUUGUAUACUGCAGGAAAGUCCAGCGGUUCUGUAAUGACAUCCAGGCUGAGGAGGAGCUAAACUGAACUGAUCCGUAGAAAUGUUCUGUCCGUCUUAUCUGAGGAUCUUCCAUUUCUGACCUUGUGGUUGUAGUAUCUGACCUGAGAUAUGUGUUGCUUGUCAGAACAAAAUGUGUUCUUCUGCUGAAGGAAGUCAUUGCUGUGAUUAGAUUGGGAGUCAUUAUGUCCAGGUAAUGAUCAUUGAUCUCUGGCCCCUAAUGGCACUUUGG
Long non-coding RNA from Amphiprion ocellaris (clown anemonefish), 1977 nucleotides. NCBI's taxonomy places the organism in Eukaryota, Metazoa, Chordata, Actinopteri, Pomacentridae. The record is from Ensembl.